UCGGGUCUCGCCACCCAUCUUUUCUUCGGCUGUGCGCCCUCUCGCCGGGCUGCACGCCGUUGAAAUCCAACCAUCGACACCAGUGCACUUUCCGGGGCGCGCCUCUGCGCUUCCCGCUUUAUGUAUGCAACGACCUUUUUAGUUACAAAUGUAAUUUUACUUUAACAUAACAACUUUCAACAACGGAUCUCUUGGCUCUCGCAUCGAUGAAGAACGCAGCGAAAUGCGAUAAGUAAUGUGAAUUGCAGAAUUCAGUGAAUCAUCGAAUCUUUGAACGCAUCUUGCGCUCUGUGGUAUUCCGCAGAGCAUGCCUGUUUGAGUGUCACGUAAACCCUCACCCUUGAGAUUUUAACCGAUCUCCCGUGGUGGAUUUGGACUGUGCCGUAGUUGGCUCGUCUUGAAAUGCAUUAGCUUGCGCUUUUAGAGUGCCGGGCACCGGUGUGAUAAUUAUCUGCGCCAUCGCCUUGCGCCUCUUCAGUGGUGCUGCUUACAGUCGUCCUUGCGGACAAUUUUUUAACGCUUUGGCCUCAAAUCAGGUAGGACUACCCGCUGAACUUAAGCAUAUCAAUAAGCGGAGGAAAAGAAACUAACAAGGAUUCCCUAGUAACGGCGAGUGAAGCGGGAAGAGCUCAAAUUUGAAAUCUGGCGGUCUAAAGCCGUCCGAGUUGUAAUCUAGAGAGGUGUUUUCGCCGGACGUACAAGUCUUGGAACAGGGCGUCAUAGAGGGUGAGAAUCUCCGUCCGUGACGCGGACUGCUCGGUGCUCUGUGAUACACCUUCGAAGAGUCGAGUUGUUUGGGAAUGCAGCUCAAAA
This 813-nucleotide ribosomal RNA is filed under the name Auriculariales sp. MS43. RNAcentral describes it as "eukaryotic LSU rRNA". The stretch from base 523 to 813 matches the Rfam family "Eukaryotic large subunit ribosomal RNA", at positions 1 to 292 of the family's 3401-position model. Lineage: Eukaryota; Fungi; Basidiomycota; Agaricomycetes; Auriculariales. The record is from RNAcentral.